Molecule: transfer RNA, 76 nt
Filed under: Rhodoplanes roseus
Lineage: Bacteria; Pseudomonadati; Pseudomonadota; Alphaproteobacteria; Hyphomicrobiales; Nitrobacteraceae
Description: tRNA-OTHER
Rfam family: tRNA
About the family: Transfer RNA (tRNA) molecules are approximately 80 nucleotides in length. Their secondary structure includes four short double-helical elements and three loops (D, anti-codon, and T loops). Further hydrogen bonds mediate the characteristic L-shaped molecular structure. tRNAs have two regions of fundamental functional importance: the anti-codon, which is responsible for specific mRNA codon recognition, and the 3' end, to which the tRNAs corresponding amino acid is attached (by aminoacyl-tRNA synthetases). tRNAs cope with the degeneracy of the genetic code in two manners: having more than one tRNA (with a specific anti-codon) for a particular amino acid; and 'wobble' base-pairing, i.e. permitting non-standard base-pairing at the 3rd anti-codon position.
Source: RNAcentral
GCCCCUGUAGCUCAGACGGAUAGAGCACCGGUUUCGUAGCCGGCGGUCGUGGGUUCGAAUCCUCCCAGGGGCGCCU